This is a long non-coding RNA of Macrobrachium nipponense, 561 nucleotides long. RefSeq lists it as uncharacterized. The record is from RefSeq and is a predicted model, not a curated record. Lineage: Eukaryota; Metazoa; Arthropoda; Malacostraca; Decapoda; Palaemonidae. The transcript is spliced from 3 exons.
UGACAGUCCUCAGGCAGCCGUCUAGUGAACGCUGACUGUAUGUUUUAGCUGUGUAUUUGAAAUGUUUGUUUAGGCAAAAUUUCGACGACGUUCUGCUUUGGUUCUCUUUAGCCUGGAAUUGGGGUCCUCUAAUGAUGGUAGUGGUGGUACUCGGAUUGUCCUAAAUUUAAGGGUUUAGAUGAUGAUGAUGGAUUCCAUGAUCUCUCUUGAGGACAGCUAACUAAAUUCACGUACCUCUACAUAGGCUGAAGAGAGAGAACCGCGAGAAAAAUCAGCCUGGCCAAAGGAACCGAGGUGGUGAUUACAAGUGGAUCGCCAACCAAAGGAACUGCGGCGGUGGUGGUGACUACAAGAGGAUCCCCGGCCCGAGGAACUGAGGUGGUGAUUACAAGAGGAUCGCCGAUAAAAGAACUGUGGUGGUGAAGAUCCCCGAAACAAGAAAGAAGAUCGGCGUAUAAAAUGUAAUCGCAAGUCGGUAAUCCAGGGCUGUUUAAAAAAAAAUUUCUGGACGCCUCACUUUUUAUUUUUAAUUAUUUAUUUUAUUUUAUUUUUUUUUUUGUU